AUGUGGGCUAGCGGCAGCAGUAGGCUUCAGUACACAUUUCUUGGAGAUGUCAUAACAUUUGAUACCACGUAUAAGAUAAACCUGUACGACAUGCCUUUCGGGUUGUUUCUUGGUGUUAACAAUCAUUUUCAGAGUACCAUAUUGGCUGGAGUUCUUGUUUGCGAUGAGACAGCGAAGAGUUUUGAGUGGGUUUUCACCGAAUUUCUGAGAAUGAUGGGUGAUGAUCCACCGGUGACCAUACUUAUAGGUAAAUUCGUCACAUAUUGUCAUGUCAUUGCUGCUUAUGUUGAAAUAUUUAACAGGCAAGAAAGCAACCAUAGGAAGCUAAAGUUUCGGCUUCGCUUUAUGGAAACCAGAACCAAGCCAUGGAGCUAG
This 375-nucleotide ribosomal RNA is filed under the name Triticum aestivum (bread wheat). RNAcentral describes it as "partial small subunit ribosomal RNA". The record is from RNAcentral. Lineage: Eukaryota; Viridiplantae; Streptophyta; Magnoliopsida; Poales; Poaceae.